UUUUUUGUGAUCCCAAUAUCAAAUACAUUUUUGUUUCAGAUGAUGGUGCCUGUCCAUUAACUGAACAACUGUGCUUUUGAACGUGCUGAGGCCAGGGACUGUGUCUGAAAACACCUACCGCAGCCCAGACAAGGGAGACGUCUGCUGAACACUCGUGGGAUCUAAGGAACAAGUAAGAUUUAAAAAAUGCUGGGGUUUUUGCCUGACUUUCAGAUUUU
RNAcentral lists this long non-coding RNA (218 nucleotides) under Ictidomys tridecemlineatus (thirteen-lined ground squirrel). RNAcentral's name for it is "lncRNA (ENSSTOG00000030285.1)". Lineage: Eukaryota; Metazoa; Chordata; Mammalia; Rodentia; Sciuridae. The record is from RNAcentral.